CAGAGGUUACUGCUAUCGAGAUUCGACUAAGCCMUGCCGAGUUGAAUGUUCUUCGUGAACAUGGCGGACUGCUCAGUAACACGUGGACAACCUACCCUUGGGUCCGGCAUAAUCCUGGGAAACUGGGAAUAAUUCCGGAUAGGUCACCGAUGCUGGAAUGCGCGGUGGCCGAAAGCUCCGGCGCCCGAGGAUGGGUCUGCGGCCUAUCAGGGUUGUAGUGGGUGUAACGUACCUACUAGCCUACGACGGGUACGGGUUGUGAGAGCAAGAGCCCGGAGAUGGAUUCUGAGACACGAAUCCAGGCCCUACGGGGUGCAGCAGGCGCGAAAACUUUACAAUGCGGGAAACCGUGAUAAGGGGAUCUCGAGUGCCAGCAUAUAAUGUUGGCUGUCCAGAUGCCUAAAAAGCAUCUGUUAGCAAGGGCCGGGCAAGACCGGUGCCAGCCGCCGCGGUAACACCGGCGGCCCGAGUGGUAACCGCUAUUAUUGGGUCUAAAGGGUCUGUAGCCGGCCAGGUAAGUCCCUUGGGAAAUCUGGCAGCUCAACUGUCAGGCUGCUAGGGGAUACUGUUUGGCUUGGGACCGGGAGAGGUGAGAGGUACCUUGGGGGUAGGGGUGAAAUCUUGUGAUCCUCGAGGGACCACCAGUGGCGAAGGCGUCUCACCAGAACGGGUCCGACGGUAAGGGACGAAAGCUAGGGGCACGAACCGGAUUAGAUACCCGGGUAGUCCUAGCCGUAAACGAUGCUCGCUAGGUGUCAGUCACGGUGCGACCGUGAUUGGUGCCGUAGGGAAGCCGUGAAGCGAGCCACCUGGGAAGUAUGGCCGCAAGGCUGAAACUUAAAGGAAUKSGSGRGSRMSCACWMCAACGGGUGGAGCCUGCGGUUUAUUG
This 889-nucleotide ribosomal RNA is filed under the name uncultured Methanosaeta sp. Its description in RNAcentral is "bacterial SSU rRNA". It matches the Rfam family "Archaeal small subunit ribosomal RNA", at positions 18 to 907 of the family's 1478-position model. The record is from RNAcentral. Lineage: Archaea; Methanobacteriati; Methanobacteriota; Methanomicrobia; Methanotrichales; Methanotrichaceae.